This 531-nucleotide ribosomal RNA is filed under the name uncultured bacterium. Its description in RNAcentral is "bacterial SSU rRNA". It matches the Rfam family "Bacterial small subunit ribosomal RNA", at positions 777 to 1304 of the family's 1533-position model. The record is from RNAcentral.
AAUAGAUACCCGGGUAGUCCACACCGUAAACGAUGAGUGCUAAGUGUUAGAGGGUUUCCGCCCUUUAGUGCUGCAGCUAACGCAUUAAGCACUCCGCCUGGGGAGUACGGCCGCAAGGCUGAAACUCAAAGGAAUUGACGGGGGCCCGCACAAGCGGUGGAGCAUGUGGUUUAAUUCGAAGCAACGCGAAGAACCUUACCAGGUCUUGACAUCCUCUGCCAACCCUAGAGAUAGGGCGUUCCCCUUCGGGAGACAGAGUGACAGGUGGUGCAUGGUUGUCGUCAGCUCGUGUCGUGAGAUGUUGGGUUAAGUCCCGCAACGAGCGCAACCCUUGAUCUUAGUUGCCUAGCAUUCAGUUGGGCACUCGUAAGGUGACUGCCGGUGACAAACCGGAGGAAGGUGGGGAUGACGUCAAAUCAUCAUGCCCCUUAUGACCUGGGCUACACACGUGCUACAAUGGAUGGUACAAAGAGCUGCGAACCCGCGAGGGUAAGCCAAUCUCAUAAAGCCAUUCUCAGUUCGGAUUGUAGG